GAUGAACGCUGGCGGCGUGCCUAAUACAUGCAAGUCGAGCGAACAGAUGAGGAGCUUGCUCCUCUGACGUUAGCGGCGGACGGGUGAGUAACACGUGGAUAACCUACCUAUAAGACUGGGAUAACUUCGGGAAACCGGAGCUAAUACCGGAUAAUAUAUUGAACCGCAUGGUUCAAUAGUGAAAGACGGUUUUGCUGUCACUUAUAGAUGGAUCCGCGCCGCAUUAGCUAGUUGGUAAGGUAACGGCUUACCAAGGCAACGAUGCGUAGCCGACCUGAGAGGGUGAUCGGCCACACUGGGACUGAGACACGGUCCAGACUCCUACGGGAGGCAGCAGUAGGGAAUCUUCCGCAAUGGGCGAAAGCCUGACGGAGCAACGCCGCGUGAGUGAUGAAGGUCUUCGGAUCGUAAAACUCUGUUAUUAGGGAAGAACAAAUGUGUAAGUAACUAUGCACGUCUUGACGGUACCUAAUCAGAAAGCCACGGCUAACUACGUG
RNAcentral lists this ribosomal RNA (497 nucleotides) under uncultured bacterium. RNAcentral describes it as "partial 16S ribosomal RNA". It matches the Rfam family "Bacterial small subunit ribosomal RNA", at positions 28 to 507 of the family's 1533-position model. The record is from RNAcentral.